This 429-nucleotide ribosomal RNA is filed under the name Verrucomicrobiota bacterium. RNAcentral describes it as "Verrucomicrobia bacterium partial 16S ribosomal RNA". It matches the Rfam family "Bacterial small subunit ribosomal RNA", at positions 355 to 776 of the family's 1533-position model. Lineage: Bacteria; Pseudomonadati; Verrucomicrobiota. The record is from RNAcentral.
UAGGGAAUCUUCGGCAAUGGGGGGAACCCUGACCGAGCAACGCCGCGUGAGUGAAGAAGGUUUUCGGAUCGUAAAGCUCUGUUGUUAAGGAAGAACGAGUGUGAGAAUGGAAAGUUCAUGCUGUGACGGUACUUAACCAGAAAGGGACGGCUAACUACGUGCCAGCAGCCGCGGUAAUACGUAGGUCCCGAGCGUUGUCCGGAUUUAUUGGGCGUAAAGCGAGCGCAGGCGGUUAGAAAAGUCUGAAGUGAAAGGCAGUGGCUCAACCAUUGUAGGCUUUGGAAACUGUUUAACUUGAGUGCAGAAGGGGAGAGUGGAAUUCCAUGUGUAGCGGUGAAAUGCGUAGAUAUAUGGAGGAACACCGGUGGCGAAAGCGGCUCUCUGGACUGUAACUGACGCUGAGGCUCGAAAGCGUGGGGAGCGAACAGG